This 242-nucleotide ribosomal RNA is filed under the name Antilocapra americana (pronghorn). Its description in RNAcentral is "partial 12S ribosomal RNA". Lineage: Eukaryota; Metazoa; Chordata; Mammalia; Artiodactyla; Antilocapridae. The record is from RNAcentral.
UAGCAACUGCUUAAAACUCAAAGGACUUGGCGGUGCUUUACACCCUUCUAGAGGAGCCUGUUCUAUAAUCGAUAAACCCCGAUAAACCUCACCAACCCUUGCUAAUACAGUCUAUAUACCGCCAUCUUCAGCAAACCCUAAAAAAGGAACAAGAGUAAGCAUAAUAAUAGCACAUAAAAACGUUAGGUCAAGGUGUAACCUAUGGGUUGGAAAGAAAUGGGCUACAUUUUCUAUUUCAAGAA